This 156-nucleotide ribosomal RNA is filed under the name Mycoblastus sanguinarioides. RNAcentral's name for it is "partial 18S ribosomal RNA". Lineage: Eukaryota; Fungi; Ascomycota; Lecanoromycetes; Lecanorales; Mycoblastaceae. The record is from RNAcentral.
GCCUCCUCAGGGAGUCAAUCAGCUGCUGUGCGCUCCUCAAGCGCAUAGCCCACAGAUCAAACACGAGUGGCUGUCUCCGAGUCGGUUAAGAUAUGACCGUAGCGGCUCCGCAAGGAGAUCGGUAUACUAGUUCCGUAGGUGAACCUGCGGAAGGAU